This is a long non-coding RNA of Astatotilapia calliptera (eastern happy), 1304 nucleotides long. Lineage: Eukaryota; Metazoa; Chordata; Actinopteri; Cichliformes; Cichlidae. The record is from Ensembl.
CUUAUGAAUGGUGAUUUAUAGAGCGCAAGUAAUAGCAUGUAGGAGGUAAAGUAUUUGUCCUUGGCACUGACCUCAAAUUUUGGUUUUGGAUUUGUUCUCCAGCUGAAAGCAUAGUCAUUUGUGAUUUUUGUUACAGUCGUGUGUGGUUCAAAUGUUCAAAUCAGAUUGUGUCAUUGAAUCCAUGUCCCAUUUUGGCAUGAAGUCUGCCUGGAUUAUCUUGAAACAUUAAGUGUUAGCUGCAGCAUUGAGCUGUGGUGUUGGAUUUAGUAGAUGAGAUGUAGCUGAUGUAAAGUGAGGGUGAACUAACUCUAUGAGAAUAUACUGCCAGCACUGUAUUGACAGUCUAUCCACAAGUCUAUAUGUUAAUGAAGCUCAAGAACUCCUCUUAAACUGAUGUGAAUGUUGAAAAACUGGAAUCAUCAGGUUUGACACUAAGAGAAGACAUAAUUCCCUAUGUUCUGUAAACUAGGGACGGAUUGAUCCGAUAUCUUUGCGAUCCUGGAUUGGAUCAGUGAGCCCACUGAUUGAGCCAGUCAGUGGGGCUUGGACUCUGUUAAUUAUAUUUUCUGUUUACUCCAAAAGUGUGCAGGUUGCUAGCAGGGAAGCUAACACAUAAUGGAGGAAUGCAGGAAGUUUGUAGCAAAGGGCCAGCGGAAAUAUUUGACAUGUGCAAUAACUUUUCUUUGAAUGUUUGCAAUCGUUUUUAACUGGACUGCAAACUGUUGUCAAGCAAGUUGAUGAAAACCUUGGACACGUGUUGUUUUUUUUUUUUUUUUUUUUUUUUUUUUUUAAACGCCUUCAUUUAACUUUAACUUAACCCUGUUACUCUCCAACAUUUUCUAAUAAAUUCCAGUAAUGGUAUAUAUUUUUUCGAUGUAUUUAUUUUUUACAUUCUGUUAUAAAAAGUUAGAUCAAUUCUCUUCCUCAGAGAUAUAAAAAUGAAUGUAACCCUACUAAUGGAUCUGCACUUGGUAUUGGCAGAUACCUUUAUGUUUCAUGUAUCUGCCAAUCUUAAUGAAUCUGGAAAAAGUUGGGACUUUGCAUCCGUGCUUGAAAUGCUUUCAAGGUAAAGCGUUGUUCUUUUUUUUAAAUCACCAUGUAGAAGUCAAACACGGGGGCUGACUUGCCACGUCUGCUUUUGCUGGCCAAGACAUGACGAUCACUGCUAGGAGAGACUAUUUAGCAAAAUAGUUGAGUUUAUUUAGGUAUUUCAUUGCUCUUAGCUGAGUACCUGUGCCAUUGAUAAUGUUUAUUCGGACAUAGCGGAGCUGGACUACCAAGCCCAUAGUUCACUGAGUUCCCAG